Molecule: ribosomal RNA, 478 nt
Filed under: bacterium 14-L049640-122-012-F02
Lineage: Bacteria
Description: bacterial SSU rRNA
Rfam family: Bacterial small subunit ribosomal RNA
Source: RNAcentral
UUGCUGGGGUGGAUGAGUGGCGAACGGGUGAGUAACACGUGAGUAACCUUCCCUUGACUCUGGGAUAAGCCUGGGAAACCGGGUCUAAUACCGGAUACGACUGGUCACCGCAUGGUGGCUGGUGGAAAGAUUUAUCGGUCUUGGAUGGACUCACGGCCUAUCAGCUGGUUGGUGGGGUAAUGGCCUACCGAGGCGACGACGGGUAACCGCGCCUGAGAGGGUGACCGGCCACACUGGGACUGAGACACGGCCCACACUCCUACAGGAGGCAGCAGUGGGGAAUAUUGCACAAUGGGCGCAAGCCUGAUGCACCGACGCCGCGUGAGGGAUGACGGCCUUCGGGUUGUAAACCUCUUUCAGUAGGGAAGAAGCGAAAGUGACGGUACCUGCACAACAAGCGCCGGCUAACUACGUGCCACCAGCCGCGGUAAUACGUACGGCGCGAGCGUUAUCCGGAAUUAUUGGGCGUAAAGAGCUC